This 569-nucleotide long non-coding RNA is filed under the name Olea europaea subsp. europaea. Lineage: Eukaryota; Viridiplantae; Streptophyta; Magnoliopsida; Lamiales; Oleaceae. The record is from RNAcentral.
CGAAAUAUAGUUAGAGCAUAAGCAUUAAUAACUAAUAGAACAUGUGAUAAAGCCAAUAAAGAUUGUAUUGUUCAUAUACAUGUAUAUUUUCUUGGUCUGACAUUCUGUCAGGAAGAAAAAAGAAAGAAUUAAUGAGUGAAUGGAAUAAGUAAAAGGAUAAAAAGAAAAAAAAAUGAAAGAAAGAAAUAAUGUUAUGCCAUAGUCAAAGCGACGUGUUUUGUUCUUGAUGUCAUUUCAUGGCUUAGACAACCAAAAAAAGUUCUUCAGUUUAGUGCCCGGGUCCUCUAGGGCUAGGUCCAGAUGCCAACCUCUCAAGCCAAAACGACAUGGUAUUUCUUGCCUUCUCAUACAUUAUUGGAAAGUUAGCAAGGUGACUCGAGCUAGAAAAAUCCUCUGAUAAAAUCCUUGCUCCCUCGACCUGGAUUUGACUCGUGAAAGCAACAAAAAUCACAGAAAUGAUCAACAAAGUGGUCGCACUUCGAGAAUUCAUUUUCUAAAAUUGAUCUUAAAUGCUCGUGCAAGAAACUUGAGUUAUUUAUGAAGAGAAAUAGAGAAUAUUUUGUUUCUUA